ACUGUCGUACGGGUGCGUAACGCGUAUGCAACCUACCUAUCACUGGGGGAUAGCCCGGGGAAACCCGGAUUAAUACCGCAUAAAACAGGGGCACCGCAUGGUGAUAUUUGUUAAAGAUUUAUCGGUGAUAGAUGGGCAUGCGUUCGAUUAGCUAGUUGGCGGGGUAACGGCCCACCAAGGCGACGAUCGAUAGGGGAGCUGAGAGGUUGAUCCCCCACACGGGCACUGAGAUACGGGCCCGACUCCUACGGGAGGCAGCAGUAGGGAAUAUUGGGCAAUGGAUGCAAGUCUGACCCAGCCAUGCCGCGUGCCGGAUGAAGGCCCUCAGGGUUGUAAACGGCUUUUAUUCGGGAAGAAGAGCAGGGAUGCGUCCUUGUGUGACGGUACCGAAUGAAUAAGCACCGGCUAACUCCGUGCCAGCAGCCGCGGUAAUACGGAGGGUGCGAGCGUUGUCCGGAUUUAUUGGGUUUAAAGGGUGCGUAGGUGGCUGUUUAAGUCAGUGGUGAAAUACGGUUGCUCAACAAUCGAGGUGCCAUUGAUACUGAAUAGCUUGAAAUAAUUGGAGGCUGCCGGAAUGGAUGGUGUAGCGGUGAAAUGCAUAGAUAUCAUCCAGAACACCGAUUGCGAAGGCAGGUGGCUACGAUUUGUUUGACACUGAGGCACGAAAGCAUGGGGAGCAAACAGGAUUAGAUACCCUGGUAGUCCAUGCUGUAAACGAUGAGGACUCGCUGUUGGCUUUCAUGAGUCAGCGGCUUAGGGAAACCGUUAAGUCCUCCACCUGGGGAGUACGCCGGCAACGG
RNAcentral lists this ribosomal RNA (800 nucleotides) under uncultured bacterium. RNAcentral describes it as "bacterial SSU rRNA". It matches the Rfam family "Bacterial small subunit ribosomal RNA", at positions 94 to 894 of the family's 1533-position model. The record is from RNAcentral.